RNAcentral lists this ribosomal RNA (785 nucleotides) under Streptomyces sp. BPSEAC30. Its description in RNAcentral is "bacterial SSU rRNA". It matches the Rfam family "Bacterial small subunit ribosomal RNA", at positions 62 to 861 of the family's 1533-position model. The record is from RNAcentral. Lineage: Bacteria; Bacillati; Actinomycetota; Actinomycetes; Kitasatosporales; Streptomycetaceae.
UCGAACGAUGAACCGCUUUCGGGCGGGGAUUAGUGGCGAACGGGUGAGUAACACGUGGGCAAUCUGCCCUGCACUCUGGGACAAGCCCUGGAAACGGGGUCUAAUACCGGAUAUGACUGUCCAUCGCAUGGUGGAUGGUGUAAAGCUCCGGCGGUGCAGGAUGAGCCCGCGGCCUAUCAGCUUGUUGGUGAGGUAGUGGCUCACCAAGGCGACGACGGGUAGCCGGCCUGAGAGGGCGACCGGCCACACUGGGACUGAGACACGGCCCAGACUCCUACGGGAGGCAGCAGUGGGGAAUAUUGCACAAUGGGCGAAAGCCUGAUGCAGCGACGCCGCGUGAGGGAUGACGGCCUUCGGGUUGUAAACCUCUUUCAGCAGGGAAGAAGCGAAAGUGACGGUACCUGCAGAAGAAGCGCCGGCUAACUACGUGCCAGCAGCCGCGGUAAUACGUAGGGCGCAAGCGUUGUCCGGAAUUAUUGGGCGUAAAGAGCUCGUAGGCGGCUUGUCACGUCGGUUGUGAAAGCCCGGGGCUUAACCCCGGGUCUGCAGUCGAUACGGGCAGGCUAGAGUUCGGUAGGGGAGAUCGGAAUUCCUGGUGUAGCGGUGAAAUGCGCAGAUAUCAGGAGGAACACCGGUGGCGAAGGCGGAUCUCUGGGCCGAUACUGACGCUGAGGAGCGAAAGCGUGGGGAGCGAACAGGAUUAGAUACCCUGGUAGUCCACGCCGUAAACGGUGGGCACUAGUGUGGGCAACAUUCCACGUUGUCCGUGCCGCAGCUAACGCAUU